UUGCCACUACCAUAACACAAUAGUAAAAUACACAAUGGUGUCUCUGCAUUAGGGACAAAUGGGGCAAUAAUCCUGGUUUAAUUUCCUCCCACCAGUUGACUGCUUGCUCCCUUGUGCUCAAGACUCUGAGUCAAUCGCCUUAAAGCAACUUUAAACCACGGUUGGUGUCAUUUUUGGCCAAGCCCCUAAUGAUUUUUACAAUAAGAGAGUGAAAAAGCCUGAAGGCUAUGUCAAGAACUAUGACCAGGA
Long non-coding RNA from Erpetoichthys calabaricus (reedfish), 249 nucleotides. RefSeq lists it as uncharacterized. The record is from RefSeq and is a predicted model, not a curated record. The transcript is spliced from 2 exons. Lineage: Eukaryota; Metazoa; Chordata; Cladistia; Polypteriformes; Polypteridae.